UUUUUUUUUUUUUUUUUUUUUUUUUUUUGUGGAGAUUUUCGUAUGUGUUUUCCAAUAUGAAUAGUAGAAGGUUGAUAGUUAAUGGAAUUGCAGAAGGGGUUUUGCGAGGAAAAUGGGGACUACGACAAGAGAGUGUUAUAGGUGGGAAUGAAGGUUUCUUGAAAGUUCGAUGGGAAUUAGCGUAAGCCGUAAGAUGAGUAAAUUUUAUGUAGAAAAGGUAAAUUAGUAUAAUAUCAUGUUAUAGCCGCUGUACUUUGUAUUGUUGCCGAAUGAGCACUGAACUUACAAACUCUGCCCUCCAUCCAUCUCCCCAAAAUGUCGUCUCCUAUUGGUACGAUGUGGCACGAUGGAAUCCGACUUAACAUUUCAUGGCAUGAUAUUGAACUUGUAAACCCACCAAACUACACAAGCACGCCCCAAAUCUUAACCCUCCAAUCCAGCGAAUAAACUUGGACAAUAGCCGGAUGAUUUGGACAAGAGCACAUAUGUAGGGGCUUUAAAG
This 502-nucleotide long non-coding RNA is filed under the name Olea europaea (common olive). RNAcentral describes it as "long non-coding RNA (OEUR_LNC008841)". Lineage: Eukaryota; Viridiplantae; Streptophyta; Magnoliopsida; Lamiales; Oleaceae. The record is from RNAcentral.